GGACCCGCACAAGCGGUGGAUGAUGUGGUUUAAUUCGAUGCAACGCGAAAAACCUUACCUACACUUGACAUGCCAGAAAUCCUGCAGAGAUGUGGGAGUGCCGCAAGGAAUCUGGGCACAGGUGCUGCAUGGCUGUCGUCAGCUCGUGUCGUGAGAUGUUGGGUUAAGUCCCGCAACGAGCGCAACCCUUGUCACUAGUUGCUACAUUUAGUUGGGCACUCUAGUGAGACUGCCGGUGACAAACCGGAGGAAGGUGGGGAUGACGUCAAGUCCUCAUGGCCCUUAUGUGUAGGGCUACACACGUCAUACAAUGGUCGGUACAGAGGGUUGCCAACCCGCGAGGGGGAGCUAAUCUCACAAAGCCGAUCGUAGUCCGGAUCGCAGUCUGCAACUCGACUGCGUGAAGUCGGAAUCGCUAGUAAUCGUGGAUCAGCAUGUCACGGUGAAUACGUUCCCGGGUCUU
This 463-nucleotide ribosomal RNA is filed under the name uncultured bacterium. RNAcentral describes it as "bacterial SSU rRNA". It matches the Rfam family "Bacterial small subunit ribosomal RNA", at positions 917 to 1382 of the family's 1533-position model. The record is from RNAcentral.